Uranotaenia lowii is the source of this 1848-nucleotide long non-coding RNA. RefSeq lists it as uncharacterized. Lineage: Eukaryota; Metazoa; Arthropoda; Insecta; Diptera; Culicidae. The record is from RefSeq and is a predicted model, not a curated record. The transcript is spliced from 4 exons.
GAGUAAAGAGCAAUCUUUAUUCUUUUUGGCAGGCCCAAGCCCAAUUUAAAGUUUUCAGUCAUGCUAAUUUCAUUUUUCUAAUCGACUCAAAAGUUUUGGCCCCGACUAACUGGAGAGCAAAUUGAAUUUCUCAUAAGGGGGAUUUUUGGAGCUAUCUUUUAGAAUACCUAGGACCUAAAAGGAAAUAAUUUGUAGUCAAAUAUCACAGAUAAUGGCAUAAGAAGAAUCUUCCGGUGUAACCUGUACUGUGGCGCAUACUGCCUGCUACGAAACUAUUUCGAUUUAAAUUUUUUAUCAAGCCGGAUGAGUAGAUCUUAUCGUGAAUUCCUGAAACAAUAUCCGUAAACAACAAUGUGUCGCCUGAAAAAUUAACCGCUUGUUGUUAACAUUCGAAUCAGCAGUCCAGACUGUCUAAUCCAGAAGAACGUUGUGCUGGCUCUAGAAGAAGUUGAUUCGAUGGAACGUCAUAUCUUUUUUUGGAUGUCUAGGUCGAGUCCUGAUCGCUUGCUUUGGAAGAGCGACGAAGAACCCAGAGAUGGGAAAAACUUCGUCUUCCAAGUAAACAAAGACAAUUAUAUUUGGCUGACAAGUACUACCCGGAUGCGGAUUCAAAUUUCAAAAAGUUUACUAAGCGUUUCUGAUAGGAAGGUGAGAAUUUUUAUGCUCUUUGAAAAGGGGUCUAAGGAGUAACAAUGACAUCACGAAUAUGAUACGGUUAACGAAAAUUUGCUACGAAGUUUACCAAUGCAUUCCUGUCCUGUCCUGUGAAAUCAAUGAAUAGCAUGAUUACCAAAUCAACGAUAUCUGCCGCUGGUUUGCCACCAGUGAUGAAAAUGCUUUUACAGUGAAGUCUCAACGAGACUCACUGAUAAACAAUUCGAUAUUGGGAAUGUUGUUCCUCGACCCGCGAAUGUCCAGUCGGUCUCUUGAUGGCAGUGAAGAGCUGAUCAAUGCAAACGAAGUUCGGAUUCAAAGACGAUGUGGAUUAAGAAAGAGCGGAAAUUAUACUAAUCGAUUGGCACUAGUCAUGUUAUAAACUAAAAAAACCAUUUCGACAUUAUUUUAUCGUUCGAUCAAAGCGAUGUUGAAUACGUUGAAUACGGGUACGAAAUUUUCAAUUAAGGGUAAAAUUGUAAUUAAGCUUAGUUUUUUUUUUUGAAAUUGGACAAGUAGCUAAGAAAUUAUGGGAAUUCUGUUCUCAUGUUACGGUAUUGUGAAACCCUAAAUUCAUAUAGUAAAAUGCUUUGAAAUUAGGCGACAGGAAAAGAAAACAGAGCCUGAUUCGGGCGAACCGAUAGUAAGGUGUACGAAGAUACCAACAGAACGUAACAGUCCCAUCAAACUCGCACUAAGGAUUUUUUUGUAAGCUCACUCAGCUCUGGAGUUAUCGUUGAGUAAGUCACUGAUACUUUCUUAUUUUAGAAUCUGACGAGCUAAUUCUAAGGUUCAGUCAUUUUCAGGUUGUUGAUUGUUGACGUUAGAAGUUAUAACAAAAGACCGAACAUGCUUCCGGUUCUUAGCAGGUGGCUUAAAUUCCACUUCCAAAUGGACCAAAUGGAAGGCCACCUAAUUUCCUAAUUUCGUUCGUUAUUCGUUCAAACAAGAUUAUUUCCGUGCUUUUUGUAGCUUGACUGCGCUUAGUGCAAAGAAAUUUCUUAGCCCUGGACUAGUUGUGUUUAGAGUGUCUUACUAGUUGUAACAACAGAUAACUGUAAAUAUUAGGCCAGAAUGUCCAGCAAAGCUCAGAACUGUUGAUUACGCUAUGCAUAGUAAUACUUUUGUUAAAAUUACAAACUUUCAAAACCGGAACGCACUUACUCUAAACAAGGACUGAUUCGUGUUUUGUUA